This 1000-nucleotide ribosomal RNA is filed under the name Xanthomonas bromi. Its description in RNAcentral is "partial 16S ribosomal RNA". It matches the Rfam family "Bacterial small subunit ribosomal RNA", at positions 194 to 1149 of the family's 1533-position model. Lineage: Bacteria; Pseudomonadati; Pseudomonadota; Gammaproteobacteria; Lysobacterales; Lysobacteraceae. The record is from RNAcentral.
CURCGGGKRRAAGCGGAGSACCUUYGGGCUUCSCSSGAUUGAAUGASCCGAUGUCGGAUUARCUAGUUGGCGGGGUAAAGSCCCCACCAAGGSGGACSRUCCGUAGCUGKUCUGAGAGGAUGAUCAGCCACACUGGGAACUGAGMCMCGGUCCAGAYUCYUACGGRRGAGCAGCAGUGGGGAAUAUUGGACAAUGGGCGCAAGCCUGAUCCCAGCCCAUGCCGCGUGGGUGAAGAAGGCCUUCGGGUUUGUAAAGCCCUUUUGUUGGGAAAGAAAAGCAGUCGGUUAAUACCCGAUUGUUCUGACGGUACCCAAAAGAAUAAGCACCGGCUAACUUCGUGCCAGCAGCCGCGGUAAUACGAAGGGUGCAAGCGUUACUCGGAAUUACUGGGCGUAAAGCGUGCGUAGGUGGUGGUUUAAGUCUGUUGUGAAAGCCCUGGGCUCAACCUGGGAAUUGCAGUGGAUACUGGGUCACUAGAGUGUGGUAGAGGGUAGCGGAAUUCCCGGUGUAGCAGUGAAAUGCGUAGAGAUCGGGAGGAACAUCCGUGGCGAAGGCGGCUACCUGGACCAACACUGACACUGAGGCACGAAAGCGUGGGGAGCAAACAGGAUUAGAUACCCUGGUAGUCCACGCCCUAAACGAUGCGAACUGGAAUGUUGGGUGCAAUUUGGCACGCAGUAUCGAAGCUAACGCGUUAAGUUCGCCGCCUGGGGGAGUACGGUCGCAAGACUGAAACUCAAAGGAAUUGACGGGGGCCCGCACAAGCGGUGGAGKAAUGUGGGUUUAAUUCGAUGCAACGCGAAGAACCUUACCUGGUCUUGACAUCCACGGAACUUUCCMRARAUGGGAUUGGUGGCCUUCGGGAACCGUGAGACARGUGCUGCCAUGGCUGUCGUCAGCUCSUGUCGUGGAGAWGGUUUGGGGUUAAKUCCCSCMACSAAGCGCAACCCCUUGUYCUUUAKUUGCCRSCMSGUAAUGGGUGGGRASWCCUAAAGGAGAC